RNAcentral lists this ribosomal RNA (387 nucleotides) under Achromatium oxaliferum. Its description in RNAcentral is "bacterial SSU rRNA". It matches the Rfam family "Bacterial small subunit ribosomal RNA", at positions 112 to 494 of the family's 1533-position model. The record is from RNAcentral. Lineage: Bacteria; Pseudomonadati; Pseudomonadota; Gammaproteobacteria; Thiotrichales; Thiotrichaceae.
AACGCGUAGGAAUCUGCCUGACAGUGGGGGAUAACUUAGGGAAACUUAAGCUAAUNCCGCAUACGCCCUACGGGGGAAAGCGGGGGACUCUUGUAGCCUCGCGCUGACAGAUGAGCCUGCGUCCGAUUAGCUAGUUGGCGGGGUAAUAGCCCACCAAGGCGACGAUCGGUANCUGGUCUGAGAGGACGAUCAACCACACUGGGACUGAGACACGGCCCAGACUCCUACGGGAGGCAGCAGUGGGGAAUAUUGGACAAUGGGCGCAAGCCUGAUCCAGCAAUGCCGCGUGUGUGAAGAAGGCCUGCGGGUUGUAAAGCACUUUCGGGGGGGAAGAAAAGUUAGCUGCUAAUAUCAGCUAAUCUUGACGUUACUCCAAUAAGAAGCACC